GAUGAACGCUGGCGGCGUGCUUAACACAUGCAAGUCGAACGAUGAAGCCAGGUUUCUUGGCGGACUAGUGGGUAACGGGUGGGUAACUCCUGUGUAAUCCGGCCUUAACCCCGGGAAAAGGCCGGGAAACCGGGUCUUAUACCCGGAAGGAGGCUUCACCGCCUUGGGGGGGUUGGGAAGUUUUUUCGGUUUUUGAUGGAAUUGCGGCCUAUCAGAUUGUUGGUGAGGUAAUGGCCUAACAAGGCGACGACCGGUAGCCGGCCUGAGAGGGGGACCGGACACACUGGGACUGAGACACGGCCCAGACUCCUACGGGAGGCAGCAGUGGGGAAUAUUGCACAAUGGGCGCAAGCCUGAUGCAGCGACGCCGCGUGAGGGAUGACGGCCUUCGGGUUGUAAACCUCUUUCAGUAGGGAAGAAGCGAAAGUGACGGUACCUGCAGAAGAAGCACCGGCUAACUACGUG
Molecule: ribosomal RNA, 465 nt
Filed under: uncultured bacterium
Lineage: Bacteria
Description: partial 16S ribosomal RNA
Rfam family: Bacterial small subunit ribosomal RNA
Source: RNAcentral